UGGGGAAUAUUGCACAAUGGGGGAAACCCUGAUGCAGCGACGCCGCGUGAAGGAAGAAGUAUCUCGGUAUGUAAACUUCUAUCAGCAGGGAAGAUAGUGACGGUACCUGACUAAGAAGCCCCGGCUAACUACGUGCCAGCACCGCGGUAAUAGCACUGU
This 159-nucleotide ribosomal RNA is filed under the name uncultured bacterium. RNAcentral describes it as "partial 16S ribosomal RNA". It matches the Rfam family "Bacterial small subunit ribosomal RNA", at positions 355 to 531 of the family's 1533-position model. The record is from RNAcentral.